AGCAGCCGCGGUAAUUCCAGCUCCAAUAGCGUAUAUUAAAGUUGUUGCAGUUAAAAAGCUCGUAGUUGAAUUUCGGGGUCAGUAGGUUGGUCAUGCCACUGGUAUGUACUGGUCUCACUGAUUCCUCCUUCCUGAUGAGCCGUAAUGCCAUUAAUUUGGUGUUGCGAGGAAUCUGGACUGUUACUUUGAAAAAUUAGAGUGUUUAAAGCAGGCUCACGCUUGAAUACAUUAGCAUGGAAUAACGAAAUAGGACGUUUGAUUCUAUUUUGUUGGUUUCUAGGAUCGACGUAAUGAUUAAUAGGGAUAGUUGGGGGCAUUAGUAUUCAAUUGUCAGAGGUGAAAUUCUUGGAUUUAUUGAAGACUAACUACUGCGAAAGCAUUUGCCAAGGAUGUUUUCAUUAAUCAAGAACGAAAGUUAGGGGAUCGAAGACGAUCAGAUACCGUCGUAGUCUUAACCAUAAACUAUGCCGACUAGGGAUCGGAUGAUGUUAAUUUUUAAUGACUCAUUC
Molecule: ribosomal RNA, 509 nt
Filed under: uncultured Glomus
Lineage: Eukaryota; Fungi; Glomeromycota; Glomeromycetes; Glomerales; Glomeraceae
Description: SSU rRNA
Rfam family: Eukaryotic small subunit ribosomal RNA
Source: RNAcentral